UACGGAGGAUCCAAGCGUUAUCCGGAAUCAUUGGGUUUAAAGGGUCCGUAGGCGGCCCUGUAAGUCAGUGGUGAAAUCUCACGGCUCAACCGUGAAAUUGCCAUUGAUACUGCAGGGCUUGAAUUAUCGGGAAGCAACUAGAACAUGUAGUGUAGCGGUGAAAUGCUUAGAGAUCGGGAAGAAUACCAGUGGCGAAGGCGUUCUGCUGGGCCGUUGCUGACACUGAGGCGCGACAGCGUGGGGAGCAAACAGG
Molecule: ribosomal RNA, 253 nt
Filed under: uncultured bacterium
Lineage: Bacteria
Description: partial 16S ribosomal RNA
Rfam family: Bacterial small subunit ribosomal RNA
Source: RNAcentral